GUUGAACCCAGCAUAUCCCAUGGGGCACUGACAGAAGUAGCCUCCCUCCGGGUUGUCGACACAGCGCCCGUCAUUGAAGCAAGGCCCAUCCGCACAGCUACUUGCACUCAACUCGCAGUUGUUGCCAUAGAAACCAGAGCAGCUGCCACCAUUACGACAGGGGUUUCCAGAACAUUCAUUAACCUCUAUCUCACAGCUGGCACCUGUAAAGCCAGGCAGACAGGAGCAUGUGUAGCUGCCCUGGCCAGUGUUGGUACAAGUGGCACCAUUGAGACAAGGCUUGUGAAGAGGCCGCCCCAUCCCUCCUGGCAGUUACACUGCCAGGGUUGUUGGCACGUACCAUGGAGGCAGCCCGGGUAACGGAUACAGUCAUCACAGUAACGACCACUGAAUCCCACACGGCAUCUGGAACACACCAUGAAUCAAAUGAUGUUUCUCACAGAAGCCAUGAUCUUCGUCACAGCCAGGAAGACAAAUUGCUGCAGAGGAAAACAACACAAAACGCCAGAGUUGCAAAUGAUCUCGCCACGCUCUCCACACGUGAAGUGUCCGAAGGCAUCAUCUCGGGGCCGACAGAACACAGAGCAGCCCUCGCCGUAGUAGUGCUCGUCACACAGGAAGCGCUGUAUGGUAAUUGGGCCAGCAGCACCUGCUCUCCCACAAUAACAACACCAGAGAGAGGGUCUGAUCAGGUUUGAUAAUAUCACCGUUUCUGCAUGCAAACACAUCACAGGACCCAAUGCAAAUCUCUACACUGCAUUUGGUGCGUGUGUGUGUGUGUGUGUGUGUGUGUGUGUGUUUCCUCAGAGACUUUGCACGCGUUUCCAUGAUGUUAAUAAGAGCUUAUGGCAGCCAUUUUUCACCAAAUACAUCAUUUAACAUGAGUUACUGCUUUGUGGAUCAUCUAAUGAGCUUUACCUGACCUUUGAUUUAUAUACUAUUAAAACCAUGGCAGCCCAUUAAAUGUCAGCAUGUUUUUUUCCCCCCAUGGAUUGAUGCUUGUACUUAUUGAAUACAGUCACUUGCGAUUACAUUACACAAGCUGUAUCAUAAAUUAUGCCAAAACAAAGAUAAUGAUGUCAUUUUUAUUUACACUCUCAGAAAAGUAUUACUUGGACAAUGUGUUAAUUAUUGUUUUAGCUUAUAAUAGUGUAGAACUGCAAUGCGUCAUAGUCAUACUGAGAUCUGUGACCCUCCCAUGGAGCAUAAUUGAACUUUAUUGUCUUUGUAGAAUUUUUGAUAAAUCUUUUAUGUUGAAUCGCGAGAUUGCGCAGUUGUACAUAAUAAAGUGUCCAGUUUACAGUGGGAGGAAAAAGUAUGUGAAUUCUUUGAAGUUGCUUACGUCUGCAUGAAUUGGUCAUAAAAUGGCGUCUGAUCUUCAUCUAAAUCAAGAAUAAUCAAACAGUCUGCUUGAAGUAACACUACACAAAUAAUUAUAAGUUUUCAUAUUUUAUUGAAAAUAACAUGUAAACAUUGACAAGACAGCUUGACAGCUCAAAGGAGGAUGGGCGAUCCAAAACAUAGAAGCAAAUCAACAGAAUGGCUUUAGAAGAAAGUACGUGUUCUGGAGUGGCCCAAGUCAACGUCCUGACCUCAACCCAAUUGAGACCUCAACCCAUAAUCUCAAGGGAGCUCUUCUCAUCAGACAUCACAGGAAUCUUUCUGAACUACAACAGUCUUGUAAAGAGGAGUGGUCCACAAUUGCUCCUGAUUGUUCUACGUGUCUGAGCAACUACAGCAAAUGUUUGGUUGAGGUUAUUGCUGCCAAAAGAGGUUCAACCAAUUGUUAAAUCCAAGGAUUUACUUACUUUUCCCCUGAGGUGGAAAGUAAUUAAGUACUUGUACUUCGUUACUGUACUAAAGCUAAUUUUUCAGCUAUCUGUACUUUACUUUAGUAUUUAUUUUUUUGGUGCCGUUUUACUUUUACUCCUUAGUUUUUAAACACAAAUAUCUGUACUUUCUACUACUUACAUUUUUAAAAUGAGCUUGUUACUUUUUAAGCCUUCUAAAGGUAGCGACGACACAACAUCAAAAGCAGAACGCCGAAAAACCGGACGUAAGCGCGCCGAGUGCAUUGAUCAUAGACAUCGUCGAUACGACACUCCCGUUUGAGCCGCAUCCCUGUGGCAACGCUAAGCUAGUGGGGGCAAAAUGUUCGCGCAUUCCAUAUUUAGGGACGCCAGUCUGAAACCAAAAUAACAAGGAUGCCUGCACAUCCUGCGGCAUACGGUUGCACAUGUCAUACAAUCACAACAAGGGAAUGCUGAACUGGGAAUAACUUUUCAUAGGUAAGAAUAUUUUUGGCUCUUUUUUCAAAAGUUGCCUGCAAUGAAUGAACCAUGUUAGUUUUUUUUUUUGUGUGUUUUUUUUUAGAAAACAAAAUUGUUGAUGUCUGGCGCAGUAAAUUAUGUCACGUUUGAGCGUUAACUUUAUGUAGCUAACACAUUUAUUUGCCCACUGGCAAAA
This is a long non-coding RNA of Phyllopteryx taeniolatus (common seadragon), 2466 nucleotides long. RefSeq lists it as uncharacterized. The transcript is spliced from 6 exons. Lineage: Eukaryota; Metazoa; Chordata; Actinopteri; Syngnathiformes; Syngnathidae. The record is from RefSeq and is a predicted model, not a curated record.